RNAcentral lists this transfer RNA (59 nucleotides) under Salix arbutifolia. RNAcentral's name for it is "tRNA-Gly". It matches the Rfam family "tRNA". Rfam says of the family: Transfer RNA (tRNA) molecules are approximately 80 nucleotides in length. Their secondary structure includes four short double-helical elements and three loops (D, anti-codon, and T loops). Lineage: Eukaryota; Viridiplantae; Streptophyta; Magnoliopsida; Malpighiales; Salicaceae. RNAcentral also lists the same sequence under 1 other name. The record is from RNAcentral.
GCGGGUAUAGUUUAGUGGUAAACCAAGCUAAUGAUGCGGGUUCGAUUCCCGCUACCCGC